GAGUUAUGCAUAGACGAAACGUGGGGUGGAAAAUUAAAUUCAAGGAACAGCGUUUUUCUUCACUGUGGGAGAAAACUCAUUUUUUGGAAAGAAACAAAGCGUGUCUAACAGUGUUGCUGCCAUCCCUUCUUAUUUAAAGUAUGAAAAAAGGAUUUGCAAUAGAUACUUGUAAAUGAUGGCUCGACCCAAAAUAUUCAGUAGCACUAUAGCCACGUACAAAGAUUUUGGAAGAAACGGGAAUUGAGUUUGGAGAGGCGUAAGGAACGAAUAAGGUACAAACGACCGAUUUGCUGAUCCACCCACUUAGGAUUUUACUCUGCUAUCUUGGAGUGCUCUCUUGUCCAGAGCCUACAUUUUGGUACAGACCUUUCUAUUGUAUAUAUAUAUAUAUAUAUAUAUAUAUAUAUAUGUUAAUCAGGGGUAUGACGGGGCCCUGUCCCGUCUUAUGGUUCUGUUGAUAUUCGUAGAGGUCUGUAGACAUACAUGUGGGUUGUGUAUAUGUUUUGGGUUGAUGUGUUCAGUGAUAGCCUUAUCGGCUUCCACACGUUAUUUCUGUUUAUCUGUGAUAGUUAGUAACGCCAUUCGACUUUUAUAUCUACAUAUUCAGCUUAUAUGCUGGUUUGGGUUAUUGGGUACGUACGGG
Long non-coding RNA from Lycium barbarum (goji berry), 643 nucleotides. RefSeq lists it as uncharacterized. The record is from RefSeq and is a predicted model, not a curated record. NCBI's taxonomy places the organism in Eukaryota, Viridiplantae, Streptophyta, Magnoliopsida, Solanales, Solanaceae. The transcript has 3 exons.